Marmota marmota marmota (Alpine marmot) is the source of this 107-nucleotide small nuclear RNA. NCBI's taxonomy places the organism in Eukaryota, Metazoa, Chordata, Mammalia, Rodentia, Sciuridae. The record is from Ensembl.
GUGCUCGCUUCAGCAGCACAUACACUAAAACUGGAGUGAUACAGAAAAGAUUAUUAUGGCCCCUGCACAAGGAUGACAUGCAAAUUAGUAAAGCGUUCCAUAUUUGG